RNAcentral lists this ribosomal RNA (512 nucleotides) under Dacus punctatifrons. Its description in RNAcentral is "partial 16S ribosomal RNA". The stretch from base 388 to 512 matches the Rfam family "Bacterial large subunit ribosomal RNA", at positions 2473 to 2597 of the family's 2925-position model. The record is from RNAcentral. Lineage: Eukaryota; Metazoa; Arthropoda; Insecta; Diptera; Tephritidae.
GUCUUUUUGAGUUAUUUUUAAAGUCUGACCUGCCCACUGAGUUUUAAAUGGCCGCAGUAUUUUAACUGUGCAAAGGUAGCAUAAUCAUUAGUCUUUUAAUUGAAGGCUGGUAUGAACGGUUGGACGAGGUAUAAGCUGUUUCAUAUAAAAUUAUAAUAGAAUUUUAUAUUUUAGUUAAAAAGCUAAAAUAUAAUUAAAAGACGAGAAGACCCUAUAAAUCUUUAUACUUUAGAUAAUUUAAAUUUUUUGGGUUUAUUUUAUUUUUAUUAUAUUGAGUAUUUUGUUGGGGUGAUAUUAAAAUUUAAUGAACUUUUAAUUGGGGUUUAAAUCAUUAAUUUAUGAAUUGUUGAUCCAUUAAUAGUGAUUAUAAGAUUAAGUUACUUUAGGGAUAACAGCGUAAUUUUUUUGGAGAGUUCAUAUCGAUAAAAAAGUUUGCGACCUCGAUGUUGGAUUAAGAUAUAAUUUUAGGUGUAGUCGCUUAAAUGUUAAGUCUGUUCGACUUUUAAAUUCUU